Canis lupus familiaris (dog) is the source of this 282-nucleotide long non-coding RNA. RefSeq lists it as uncharacterized. The record is from RefSeq and is a predicted model, not a curated record. The transcript has 2 exons. Lineage: Eukaryota; Metazoa; Chordata; Mammalia; Carnivora; Canidae.
CACUGCAGGCUCCGAUUAAGUAACUGUCCUGCUGCUUGCUUUACAAAUGGAUCUCACCGUCUGCGGACCAGCCCUGGAUCAUGGUUAGAGACGGGAAACCGUAGAUUCCGGCUUCAUGAAGUCUGCAGGUUGUGGAUGUGGAGGGAGAGGAUACAGAUGCCCGAAGAUCUUCUAGAAAUGCAGCCAUGGUCUUGAUUUAGGACCUUGGCUUCUAAACAAGCAGCACUACAUUUAUAUACCUGUCGAGAGAAAGAAAUAAAGGCAGAAUUGCAGUUACCUCAA